Molecule: unclassified non-coding RNA, 202 nt
Filed under: Hevea brasiliensis (rubber tree)
Lineage: Eukaryota; Viridiplantae; Streptophyta; Magnoliopsida; Malpighiales; Euphorbiaceae
Source: RNAcentral
GUUUUAACUUGUUUUUUUUGUUGUAUAGCCAUUGAAAAUCAUUAGUGUCCCACAACAAUUGUAUUUCUAGAUAUUAUUUUAGACUGGAUAAUUCUUAGGAUUCUACCUUUCACCACCUUAGAUGAUUGUAUCAUCCAUACAGUUUUGUUUGUGGGAACUUUCUUUUCUCAUGUCUUUACCAUUUCAUGUAGUGCCUCCUUUU